CUAGCCGUAAACGAUGGAUACUAGGCGUUGUGAGUAUCGACCCUCACAGUGUCGUAGCUAACGCGUUAAGUAUCCCGCCUGGGGAGUACGCGCGCAAGCGUGAAACUCAAAGGAAUUGACGGGGGCCCGCACAAGCGGUGGAGUAUGUGGUUUAAUUCGAUGCAACGCGAAGAACCUUACCAGGACUUGGCAUGUCGCGAAUCUCAGGGAAACUUGAGAGUGCCUUCGGGAGCGCGAACACAGGUGGUGC
RNAcentral lists this ribosomal RNA (250 nucleotides) under uncultured Chroococcidiopsis sp. RNAcentral's name for it is "partial 16S ribosomal RNA". It matches the Rfam family "Bacterial small subunit ribosomal RNA", at positions 796 to 1044 of the family's 1533-position model. Lineage: Bacteria; Bacillati; Cyanobacteriota; Cyanophyceae; Chroococcidiopsidales; Chroococcidiopsidaceae. The record is from RNAcentral.